Molecule: ribosomal RNA, 2615 nt
Filed under: human gut metagenome
Description: bacterial LSU rRNA
Rfam family: Bacterial large subunit ribosomal RNA
Source: RNAcentral
AGCGUACACGGUGGAUGCCCUGGCAGUCAGAGGCGAUGAAGGACGUGCUAAUCUGCGAUAAGCGUCGGUAAGGUGAUAUGAACCGUUAUAACCGGCGAUUUCCGAAUGGGGAAACCCAGUGUGAUUCGUCACACUAUCAUUAACUGAAUCCAUAGGUUAAUGAGGCGAACCGGGGGAACUGAAACAUCUAAGUACCCCGAGGAAAAGAAAUCAACCGAGAUUCCCCCAGUAGCGGCGAGCGAACGGGGAGGAGCCCAGAGCCUGAAUCAGUGUGUGUGUUAGUGGAAGCGUCUGGAAAGGCGCGCGAUACAGGGUGACAGCCCCGUACACAAAAAUGCACAUGCUGUGAGCUCGAUGAGUAGGGCGGGACACGUGGUAUCCUGUCUGAAUAUGGGGGGACCAUCCUCCAAGGCUAAAUACUCCUGACUGACCGAUAGUGAACCAGUACCGUGAGGGAAAGGCGAAAAGAACCCCGGCGAGGGGAGUGAAAAAGAACCUGAAACCGUGUACGUACAAGCAGUGGGAGCCUCUUUAUGGGGUGACUGCGUACCUUUUGUAUAAUGGGUCAGCGACUUAUAUUCUGUAGCAAGGUUAACCGAAUAGGGGAGCCGAAGGGAAACCGAGUCUUAACUGGGCGUUAAGUUGCAGGGUAUAGACCCGAAACCCGGUGAUCUAGCCAUGGGCAGGUUGAAGGUUGGGUAACACUAACUGGAGGACCGAACCGACUAAUGUUGAAAAAUUAGCGGAUGACUUGUGGCUGGGGGUGAAAGGCCAAUCAAACCGGGAGAUAGCUGGUUCUCCCCGAAAGCUAUUUAGGUAGCGCCUCGUGAAUUCAUCUCCGGGGGUAGAGCACUGUUUCGGCAAGGGGGUCAUCCCGACUUACCAACCCGAUGCAAACUGCGAAUACCGGAGAAUGUUAUCACGGGAGACACACGGCGGGUGCUAACGUCCGUCGUGAAGAGGGAAACAACCCAGACCGCCAGCUAAGGUCCCAAAGUCAUGGUUAAGUGGGAAACGAUGUGGGAAGGCCCAGACAGCCAGGAUGUUGGCUUAGAAGCAGCCAUCAUUUAAAGAAAGCGUAAUAGCUCACUGGUCGAGUCGGCCUGCGCGGAAGAUGUAACGGGGCUAAACCAUGCACCGAAGCUGCGGCAGCGACGCUUAUGCGUUGUUGGGUAGGGGAGCGUUCUGUAAGCCUGCGAAGGUGUGCUGUGAGGCAUGCUGGAGGUAUCAGAAGUGCGAAUGCUGACAUAAGUAACGAUAAAGCGGGUGAAAAGCCCGCUCGCCGGAAGACCAAGGGUUCCUGUCCAACGUUAAUCGGGGCAGGGUGAGUCGACCCCUAAGGCGAGGCCGAAAGGCGUAGUCGAUGGGAAACAGGUUAAUAUUCCUGUACUUGGUGUUACUGCGAAGGGGGGACGGAGAAGGCUAUGUUGGCCGGGCGACGGUUGUCCCGGUUUAAGCGUGUAGGCUGGUUUUCCAGGCAAAUCCGGAAAAUCAAGGCUGAGGCGUGAUGACGAGGCACUACGGUGCUGAAGCAACAAAUGCCCUGCUUCCAGGAAAAGCCUCUAAGCAUCAGGUAACAUCAAAUCGUACCCCAAACCGACACAGGUGGUCAGGUAGAGAAUACCAAGGCGCUUGAGAGAACUCGGGUGAAGGAACUAGGCAAAAUGGUGCCGUAACUUCGGGAGAAGGCACGCUGAUAUGUAGGUGAAGCGACUUGCUCGUGGAGCUGAAAUCAGUCGAAGAUACCAGCUGGCUGCAACUGUUUAUUAAAAACACAGCACUGUGCAAACACGAAAGUGGACGUAUACGGUGUGACGCCUGCCCGGUGCCGGAAGGUUAAUUGAUGGGGUUAGCGGUAACGCGAAGCUCUUGAUCGAAGCCCCGGUAAACGGCGGCCGUAACUAUAACGGUCCUAAGGUAGCGAAAUUCCUUGUCGGGUAAGUUCCGACCUGCACGAAUGGCGUAAUGAUGGCCAGGCUGUCUCCACCCGAGACUCAGUGAAAUUGAACUCGCUGUGAAGAUGCAGUGUACCCGCGGCAAGACGGAAAGACCCCGUGAACCUUUACUAUAGCUUGACACUGAACAUUGAGCCUUGAUGUGUAGGAUAGGUGGGAGGCUUUGAAGUGUGGACGCCAGUCUGCAUGGAGCCGACCUUGAAAUACCACCCUUUAAUGUUUGAUGUUCUAACGUUGGCCCCUAAUCGGGGUUGCGGACAGUGUCUGGUGGGUAGUUUGACUGGGGCGGUCUCCUCCUAAAGAGUAACGGAGGAGCACGAAGGUUGGCUAAUCCUGGUCGGACAUCAGGAGGUUAGUGCAAUGGCAUAAGCCAGCUUGACUGCGAGCGUGACGGCGCGAGCAGGUGCGAAAGCAGGUCAUAGUGAUCCGGUGGUUCUGAAUGGAAGGGCCAUCGCUCAACGGAUAAAAGGUACUCCGGGGAUAACAGGCUGAUACCGCCCAAGAGUUCAUAUCGACGGCGGUGUUUGGCACCUCGAUGUCGGCUCAUCACAUCCUGGGGCUGAAGUAGGUCCCAAGGGUAUGGCUGUUCGCCAUUUAAAGUGGUACGCGAGCUGGGUUUAGAACGUCGUGAGACAGUUCGGUCCCUAUCUGCCGUGGGCG